RNAcentral lists this ribosomal RNA (657 nucleotides) under Triticum aestivum (bread wheat). Its description in RNAcentral is "partial small subunit ribosomal RNA". The record is from RNAcentral. Lineage: Eukaryota; Viridiplantae; Streptophyta; Magnoliopsida; Poales; Poaceae.
AUGUCACCAUAUGGCGGCAACCUGCAGUUCCAGACCUUCUCGACAGAGCAUGGCGCGUGGGGCCUCUACACCGAGACCUGGCUUCCUAACCUACAAAGCAGGUUUCAACGAAGCCUCGGCAAGGCCCUGGUCAACGCCGGCGAUGUGCACUGGAUAUGCCAGACUGACACCAGAUCCUACGUCCUCAGGCUCCGCGUCAAAGCAGCAAAGGUGUUGGUGACGAAGCUCCCGAAAGGGUUCGCACACAACGAAGAGCAUCAAAAACUUCUGGCAACAUCGUCGGUGAGUGGGGAUGUGCUCGUGCUUGUCGCCCACGAUGAUAAGAUAUCGGCUUGGGCACAAUCACAACAUACAGCCAAGUGGAAGCAACGACCACAUGUGGUGAUCAACAUGACGGAGACAAUUUUGCGGUUCCUUGACAAGGCAGGCGGGAGCUGCAUUCCACCGACGAAGCCAGUCAAAUUCAACCUAGUGUGGUUCGCUCAGAGGAGUGGCAUCGUCCUCAUCAAUGCAUGUAGCGGUUCCUUUUGGCUCGACCUGCAGUCCACGGAGAUCGUGAGGUGGUUCUCGGAUAAUAGGGUCCCAUACACAACCCAGAAUAUCCCCUUUGAAAUGAGUUUGACGGCUUGGGUUCCAACAUUCAGUAGCACUUUGUGA